UUUGUGUGCCACAUCUCAUCGCGGAUGUUGUUUGUCGUUGAGCUCUUUAUCUGACACGCAUGAAAGGAGGAUGAAGGCGCAACUGAAGAGGACGAAGAACAACAAGAAAAAAAAAAAAAAGCAAAACCCGACACAAGGCUGGCCUGCUGUCGAACGCUCACGCCCACUCCACGCCGCUGACUGAUGUGGAACGCCAUCCGGCGCGUCCUCAACGCUUUUCCGCCCUGCCACUUAGCCCAAAUCCCUCGACGGGCGGCGUUACGCCGGCUGUCAGGAGCCAACAACGGCGUUCCUCCUCGCUUGCUCUUUCCUAUCGCGGCUGACGGCACGGAUGAGGCACGACGGCGUUGUGUAACCCCGGGGGAGUAGGGAUUGCCUCCGCUGUCGUUGCAUUUCACACUUGUAGGGAAGUACUGGGGAUUUGGGGGAAAUCCUGCAAAAUGUAGCGAGGAGGGGAAGUCGUGGACAUUUUGGACAAAUGAAGGAACGUUCUGGGGGAAAGUUCGAGGUUGGAGAAAGUUUCGUACGAAAAAUUCCUUGGAAUCGUGUCUGUCAUGUGGCUUACGAUUCCACGUAGCAACAACAACAAAAAUCUUCAAAAAGGAACGAGCGCUUCAACCAGAUCGCCGCCGCCCGCUUCACUCUCAGGCAACUGACGAUCGCUUCUUGCGGUUUCCCAGAGGGAAGCGACUGAGUUUUCACCCCUGACUGCCAGGACGCCGUCUUUUCAGUGCGUUAAUGUUUCCGUCAUGCGAUCUUGCAAACGUCGCGCCGGGAUGUUGACGGGCGACGCGAUCUGACAGACAGCAGCUGAUGACUGAUGGGCACGGUAGGCCGCGGCGGGAGUGACGGCGGAGUGACGGAUAACAAGCGGCUGACUGACAGCUCGCAGGUGUUUUUGCUCGCCUACAAGUUUUUUUUUCGUUUGUUUUUUUUUUUUUUUUCAACUUGAUCCAACCGCUUGUUUUCACGAGCUUUUAGAUCAAGUCUCACGGACAUUUUAAAGGCUAUUUCAAACAAAUUUUGCUAUUAAUAUGCAAUAUGGA
Molecule: long non-coding RNA, 1046 nt
Organism: Syngnathoides biaculeatus (alligator pipefish)
Lineage: Eukaryota; Metazoa; Chordata; Actinopteri; Syngnathiformes; Syngnathidae
Exons: 3
Source: RefSeq, a predicted model, not a curated record